RNAcentral lists this ribosomal RNA (906 nucleotides) under Penicillium sizovae. Its description in RNAcentral is "LSU rRNA". It matches the Rfam family "Eukaryotic large subunit ribosomal RNA", at positions 38 to 962 of the family's 3401-position model. The record is from RNAcentral. Lineage: Eukaryota; Fungi; Ascomycota; Eurotiomycetes; Eurotiales; Aspergillaceae.
GCAUAUCAAUAAGCGGAGGAAAAGAAACCAACCGGGAUUGCCCUAGUAACGGCGAGUGAAGCGGCAAGAGCUCAAAUUUGAAAGCUGGCUCCUUCGGGGUCCGCAUUGUAAUUUGCAGAGGAUGCUUCGGGAGCGGCCCCCAUCUAAGUGCCCUGGAACGGGCCGUCAUAGAGGGUGAGAAUCCCGUCUGGGAUGGGGUGUCCGCGCCCGUGUGAAGCUCCUUCGACGAGUCGAGUUGUUUGGGAAUGCAGCUCUAAUUGGGUGGUAAAUUUCAUCUAAAGCUAAAUAUUGGCCGGAGACCGAUAGCGCACAAGUAGAGUGAUCGAAAGAUGAAAAGCACUUUGAAAAGAGAGUUAAACAGCACGUGAAAUUGUUGAAAGGGAAGCGCUUGCGACCAGACUCGCCCGCGGGGUUCAGCCGGCAUUCGUGCCGGUGUACUUCCCCGCGGGCGGGCCAGCGUCGGUUUGGGCGGCCGGUCAAAGGCCCCUGGAAUGUAACGCCUCUCGGGGCGUCUUAUAGCCAGGGGUGCCAUGCGGCCUGCCCGGACCGAGGAACGCGCUUCGGCUCGGACGCUGGCAUAAUGGUCGUAAGCGACCCGUCUUGAAACACGGACCAAGGAGUCUAACAUCUACGCGAGUGUUCGGGUGUCAAACCCGUGCGCGCAGUGAAAGCGAACGGAGGUGGGAACCCCCCCGGGGUGCACCAUCGACCGAUCCUGAUGUCUUCGGAUGGAUUUGAGUAAGAGCGUAGCUGUUGGGACCCGAAAGAUGGUGAACUAUGCCUGAAUAGGGCGAAGCCAGAGGAAACUCUGGUGGAGGCUCGCAGCGGUUCUGACGUGCAAAUCGAUCGUCAAAUUUGGGUAUAGGGGCGAAGACUAAUCGAACCAUCUAGUAGCUGGUUCCUGCC